CGUCGCGUCCGCCAGAUGCGAAUUGACGUCAUCUCAGACAUUUUUUUCUAUUGCGCGUUUGCCGUCAAUGGCUCCCUGUCUUCGUUUUUUUCUUCGUUUUGAGUCACAGAGCUCUGUUUGCGUGUUUGCCUUUUCAUAAAAAAUGGACACCGACACUGGCGAAACGAGUAUUCAUCACGCCGAGCAGGAGACUAAAAGUGCGAAACGAAGGAAUUCGGGUUCAACGCUGACCUUAAAUCGGUUCGUGCGUUUGCCGAAACCCAGAAAGUGUCGUUCGUGGGGACGUCAAUUACUGCGACGAUGGUCUAGCGCGAGUUUCAUCAAUUUCUUCAGCUCGCCAAGUAGCUGCACGAAGGAAAGCAGUAACAGCGGCAACGAUUCUCCGCCUCUGGCUGACGCUGUUGAUGUUUUCGGAUCGUCGGAUUAUGUGAACUUUGGUCCGAUCACGCCUCCUCCUAAGCCUCCACGAGUCGGGGCUCAGUCUGGUCUAUCCUCGUUGUCAACUGGUGCAGACAGAUGCAGCGCAACCGACUGUGAAGGAUCGCUCACUUCAGUGCAGUCGAGCGCCUUGCAAGUGGAAGAGGAGGAGCGAGACGCAUCCCGUCUGUUCUUCUUGAGAUUUCAGUUGAUGUCUUCGUCGUUGCCGUCCAUCGAGUUGUCGCCGUGCUCGCUAGAUGGCGUGGAUGAGGGUCAGGAUGUCAUUUGCUCCGGGGAAUCAUCAGGUGCCGUGACAGCCGCAACGUCCAAUGCGGCACGAGAUGAACAAUUUCACCGUAGGGGGGCGGAGUCAUUGCCAACGAGUGAAGAUGAAACGCAUUCAUCCGGUGCGGAUGAUGACGAAGAUGACGUUAUUAUUGACGACGACGUUGAAAACGAAGCUCGUGAUGGCGGAAUUACACACAAAUCGCUUAGCGCCAAACUGUUGCGGAUGCGUCCAUUAUGGCCAGUGGCCUUGCCAUUGCAUGACCAGCUUGAAGGCAACGACGACUUCCGUUUGGAGGACGCCCGUUUGUUGUGGCUUCAAUGGCGACUUGUCAUCCCAUCCGUCCGACAGACGAAACCGGUCAUUUCGGAACGAGAACGCGGACUAUUGCAGCGGGCAAACAGCCUCAAUAUUCACGUCAGUCAGCUGCAACGCCAGCAACGGAUCUUAUCCAGCGAGAAUGAGCAAUUGAAACGUCAAAUGGAGAUGGAAAGAGAGCGGCCGGCCGGCCAGCUGCAACGGGAACGUGAACGUCAGCAAGAACUGCAACUACUGCGGAAGAAAAAUGCCGAACUGGCCAUUCAGACGAAAAAAUUAGAAGAGAAAGUCCGCAGCCUUGAAAAGAAGUCGAAAGAAUUGCCGUCGGUGAACGGUGGAACGCAGCAGGUUGUGCUGUCCAGGGAGCGGUCGAUUGACAACAAGUUGCAUCAUCAGCAAGUCCAGCAGCAACAACAACACAGCAAACAGACGGCGCCGACCAAGUGGCGCGAAAAAGAAAUGGCCAUGCAAACGCUGCAGAAUCGGUUGACGGAGCGUGAAAAAGAGAUCGGCCGUCUCAAGGAAAAGCUUCGUGAUCUGACCAAGAAACUCCAACAAGAACAACAUUACAACAGCAAGGAGUCGUUACAACAGCAACAAAAUGGAGUCGAAUGGACAAUAUUAUCGCAGGGUUCCAGGGAAUUGGAAGGUCUACUCAAACUCGUCUCCAAGGAGCGACUUCAAUUGGAACGCAACUUUGUCCUGGCCACUCAGGGCUUGCAACGGAGCGCCGAGCUCGACGUGAACCGCUACUCCGCCUUGGAGGCGACCAACGUCCAGCUCCGGCGGCAGGUUGAACAGCUCGAAUUACUCUGCAAAGAACAGGCCGAAGCUGCCCAACAGCUCAGUAAAAGGCAACAGGAUCGUGAGGUGUUGGCCGAACGACUUAAAGCCAAAAGUGAAUACAGUCAAGACUUGGAAAAUCAGCUGAGUAAAGUUAUCGACAAGAACGCUGAAUUGACCAUUGAGAAUUGUGACUUGAAAAAGCAGGUUCAAGAGCUACACCAGUUUGAAGCGGAAUGUGUGACGCUUCGUAGUUCAUUGAGCACGGUGGAAAGCCAGUGCCAGGCGGCUCAGAGCGAAGUAGCUCAGCUCAAGGAGAAGAUGGCCGGCCUGGAUCACGUCCUCAGGCAAAUGCGAGAAGCGGCCGAGAAGAAGAAAGAAUUGGAAAAACAACAUGGAGAAUCCGUCAACGAGUUACGGACGGCUCAGGCCCAGCUCGGAUUGCUGGCCAGUAACAAGAACACGGAAGUGGAGCGGGCACAACAUUCUCAGAACAUCGAGUCGCUUCAGUCUCGUAUUCGCGAGCUGGAAAGGAAAAUGGAGCUGCAAAAUGUCAGACAUGAUGAAUUGUUGCUGGAGUUGGCCGCCUUGAGACGCAACCAACAUCACCAUCACGCCAGCAAUAGCAGCGGAAGUAGUCACCAUGGUAGCAGCCAGUCACUAGGCGCUGCUUUCGAUUUAGAUUCCAGAGGAUCCAGUCCAGAUUCGCUCCGGUAUUUAGCAAAUGGAGCUGGAUCUGUGACGCGUACAACACCGCUGGGACAGAGUGCCUCCAAUUUAGAUGCUCUCCUCGAAAUGGAUUUGGCCGUCUCUAAUUAUAAUCUGGGGAAAAGUAUGUCGCAGCCGGUCGUGUCGGCUUCAUCGUUAUCGAAAUUGACGGGCAACGGUGGUGCAGGUGUUAGCAAUAAUAGUAGCCAUCACCACAUGAUUCACGGAAGCGCUGGCGGUAGUGACAUUGAACGCAUCAUGGCCAAAAUCGAGCAGGAUAAUCGUGUGCUGGCCGAGCUGGAUAAAUCUCGAGCUACAAUCAUGUCUCAGGAGAAGGCCAAAACGGUGACGUUUGCCAAUGAUGAUAUGGUGCUGCACUACGGCGGCCCACACCGGCACCGGCGCAAAUCGACACCGGCCAGCCUCAACCGGACGCCUUUACACCACAACAACCCCCAAUACCACCAACAACAGCCUUCGCACCAUCAACAUCAUCAGAGUCUGCAUCACGUUUUGCGCUCAUCGCCCGUCUCUGCCCAUCUGAGGCAUUGGCUAGCGCCGGGCAAUUCGAACAUGAUUGAAACGAGUAAGAAGAGUUCGGGUUUUUCGAAUCACAAUGGAGCCACUAGCGGGUCGGUGCCGACGUCGCAGUCGAUCAGCCCGAUGUACGGCAGCACAAGUUCGGCGGCCAUGGGGUCCGGUUUGACGUCGACGACAUUGACCAAUACGUCGUCCGUGUUUUUCCCUGGCGGCGUAGCGACUUCGACGUCAUCGGCCGCGGCCGAUUUGGCGCACACGUUGAGCCUUGGCCAGCAACAAAAUGCCGGACUACAUCAUCAGCAUCGCACGUCGACGCUGACGGCGCCCGUCUCGAUGAUGCAUCCGCCUUUAUCGCCGCUCAGUUUGCCCGCUCUGCCGCUCGAUGCCCAUUCCGGCUCACUUGUCCACACGGUUCCGCUGCACUCGUUCCGCCAUCCGGAGCCAGAAAGCAGCGCCGACAUGCUCGAGAUACCGGGCAAAGGCAGAUGUUACGUCUACUUGGCCAAGUACACGUACGACCCAUUCACGCAGUCACCCAACGACAAUCCGGAAGCGGAAGUGUCGCUAGCGGCCGGCGAUUACGUUCUCGUCUGGGGCAACAUGGAUGAGGACGGAUUUUACGAGGGCGAAUUGUUGGACGGCCGCAAAGGUUUGGUGCCAUCGAAUUUCAUCCAGCGGCUUCAAGGCGAAGAUUUGGUUGAAUUCCAUCGGGCCGCUGUGCUGGGCCUGCAGAUUUGCGGCGACGACAGUAGCACCACCAGCUUACCGAGGGACCUGCUGGGCGUCAGCCCCAACAAUCAUCCAUCGUCUCAUUUGGCCGGCAGCAAUAGACCUGGUCAUCAGGCUCCGAUUCAUCAACUUGCAGCGCAUCACCAACAGCAGCAACAGCAAGGUCUGCCUCAUCAGCAACCGAUUCGGACCAACGAGCCCAUCGAUCAAGCCAAUAUCCCAGCGGCUGGAAGCAGUCAGGUGGCCUUUCAUAGUCCGGCCAGUCGCAGUAGGGGCAUCAAUCAGUAUGAUGCUGCACGUCAGGCCCUCGACUGGGGUCUGAUGGAACUCCAGGAGUUCCUGGAAGAUGAAGAAUUAGCACUCGGCGUUAAAGGAGAAGGUCCAGACUGGCUCUUCCUUUCGCUGCUAGUCCCUCCACCGCGUCAGCUGACGCUGGAACGGCAGUUGAACAAGUCGAUUUUGAUUGGAUGGAACCAUCCGGAAGGAGCACCUCCAGAGUCGGGCCAAAUUGCCUCCUAUCAUGUCUACGUCGAUGGCAUCCUUCGCACCACCAUCCGGGCCGCCGAUCGCUGCCGGGCGCUCAUCGAAGGCGUCGAUUCCAGCAAGCCCCACCGGAUUAGUGUGCGCUCGGUGACGUUGAGACGGCGGGCAUCGCUGGAUGCGGCGUGCACGAUGGUGAUUGGCAAGGAGGUUCCAUCGGCGCCGACUUGCGUCCGUGUGAGUCACGUGACGGCCACGUCAGCGUUGAUUUCGUGGCUGCCGGCCAACUCCAAUUACCAGCACGUCGUCUGCGUCAAUCACGUCGAAGUGCGCACCGUCAAGCCGGGCAUCUUCCGGCACACCAUUUCUGGCUUGUCGCCCAACACCAUCUACCGGGUGACGGUCAAAGCCAAAAACAUCCGUUCGCCGCACUUUAACACGAUGGACGAGACGACGGCCAAGUACGCGGAAAAGUACUGCACCCACGUCGAAUUCCGCACACUUCCUAAAGGUGUGCCUGAUCCACCUGUCGAUGUCCAGGUGGAGCUGGGACCUCAGGACGGCACGCUACUCGUCACUUGGCUGCCCGUCACCAUCAACAGCCAGUCGGGAAAAUCCAAUGGCGUGCCCGUCACCGGUUACGCCGUCUACGCCGAUGGUAGAAAGGUCACAGAAGUCGAUAGCCCCACAGGAGAUCACGCCUUACUGGACAUUUCCAGCUUUAUGGGCUUGCAAGCUAAACACGUGACGGUGCGGACCAAAGCUCGGGAGAGCCAAUCAGGGGACAGCGUGCCGACUCCAGUGCCAAUCGAUCUAAUUAAGAACCGUGGCGGUGGCAACAGGAACGGUAAUGUGGACGUUUUCGAAGACGAGGUACAAUCCGAGUCUGCACCGGUUGUAGCGAGCGAAGAAGACAUUGUCGGAUUGUGGAAUCUCAGUCUAUUGGCCAGCAUCAAGGAUACGCUUGAAUCCGACGAAAGACCGUCUGAAUUAUCUGAUAUUGCCGAAGAGCCGGAAGAAUAUGAAGACUGCAGUAGCGAAGGGGAAAUGAUGAACGAAACGAGCCGCAGCAACAACGGAGGCCGGCGCAAUUUUAUGGAACAGGCCAACAACGGUAGAAGCGGCGGCGGUAUGAUCCAGCGCAAUCAGUAUCUCAAUCCGUCUCUACCCGGUCCUAUUCCCUCUAUCGAAAUCACCAAGGAUACGGCCAGUGAACGAUCAGGUGAUAGCUAUCGCGGACGUGAUGGAACCGGAAUGAAUCCAUACGACCGAAACAAAUCAUUGCCAGCCAACCGGAACCCGCAGAUGGUUGGCGGUAGGAACGCUCAGGGACAGGCUAGAGAUAACUAUUACGCGCCACCAGGACGCAACCAACAGCAGAACGACGGCUACUACGAUCAGACGGCCAACAGACGGCCAGUGGCUCGUGGAGGCAGGCAACCUCAAAUGCAACAGCAGCAGCAAACGCGCAUCUUUGUUGCCUUGUUUGACUACGAUCCGCCCAGCAUGUCACCUAAUCCAGACGCUUGCGAUGAAGAGUUGCCGUUCCGCGAAGGCCAGCUCAUCAAGGUGCGUGGUGAUAAAGAUGCCGAUGGAUUCUAUUGGGGUGAAGUGGCUGGCCGAUCGGGUUAUGUUCCGUGUAACAUGGUGUCCGAAGUGCAAGUCGAUGAUGAACGGGUCGCCCAAGAACUUCUCAAAGAGUCUGGAGCGGACGGACCAAGUCAUUCUCGUACUCGACGCAAUUUACGUGCUCAAGGCCAGCCGGGUCACGGACGCGACCGUUGGGGCGACAUUUACGCCAAUAUGCCCGUCAAGCGGAUGAUUGCUUUGUACGAUUACGAUCCGCAGGAAUUGUCGCCCAACGUCGACGCCGAAGUGGAGCUCUCCUUCCAAACGGGCGACAUCAUUUACGUUUACGGAGAUAUGGACGAUGACGGUUUCUAUUUGGGUGAAUUGCGCGGACAGCGCGGUCUAGUCCCUUCCAACUUCUUGACGGAAGCCCCUCCCGACUACGAUCCAUCUCAGCCGCGUCACAAACGCCAGCAGCAAUCGGGCAAUAUCAUCGAUAAAUCAGGCGGUGGUGGCGGCCAGGCGAUGCAGGAUCGCGGACGAGAUUCCAGCUAUUACGGAAAUCGCAGCCGUGAACGGAUGGAUCACGAUCGAAUGGAUCCUCGAGAUCGGGGCAUGUCCGGAGCUGAAGGCCCUCCACCUCCGCCUCGUACAACAAAUCAUCGUCCAAGUGACAAUUCACGCGACCGACGUAGCGGCGAGGUCCAUGGCGGCGGUCGCGAGAGAUGGUAGCAUCCAGGCCAAUAACCAACGCUUCUACACUGACGACUCUUUCUCCGAUGUGGAUGACCGAUUUAAAGGAAGACCGGAUGGGAUGGAUUAUGCUUAUAACAAUGGCAUGCCCGAACAGUCGCCACAAAUUUCAGCCGGGCAACAGCCAACGUUCAAUGGCGGGACAGGACCUGUUCGUAAUUUGCCCGUGAAUAAAAUCACGAGAGGUCUG
Molecule: unclassified non-coding RNA, 6773 nt
Filed under: Daphnia magna
Lineage: Eukaryota; Metazoa; Arthropoda; Branchiopoda; Diplostraca; Daphniidae
Description: uncharacterized LOC116921277, transcript variant X1
Source: RNAcentral